Molecule: long non-coding RNA, 316 nt
Organism: Saccostrea cuccullata (small rock oyster)
Lineage: Eukaryota; Metazoa; Mollusca; Bivalvia; Ostreida; Ostreidae
Exons: 3
Source: RefSeq, a predicted model, not a curated record
GAAAACUGUAUGACUUUAAAAGAAAACCAGUGAGAUAAAAUCAUAUAAAAUGUAUGAUGAUUCAGGAUGUUGUCAUUUGAAUCCUGUUCUGUGGAUGCCCUUAGAAAGUGUGUCUACCCAUCACGCCAUCUGAUAUCACUUGUUCUGAGCAUAUUUCUCUCUCAAACUUAAACUACAGAGAGCCUGUGGAUAGAGGAUGAAGAGUGACCUUGGACUAAUUUUCUAUGUCAAAGAUCAUAGGUGUUGUGAAGAAAAUAUCAGGGAACUGAUGUUGAAAGAAGUACUUAAUGACACUUAUGAAUGGACUUACAUGUGA